RNAcentral lists this ribosomal RNA (494 nucleotides) under uncultured bacterium. Its description in RNAcentral is "partial 16S ribosomal RNA". It matches the Rfam family "Bacterial small subunit ribosomal RNA", at positions 28 to 507 of the family's 1533-position model. The record is from RNAcentral.
GACGAACGCUGGCGGCGUGCUUAACACAUGCAAGUCGAACGGAAAGGCCUGCUUUCCCUUGUGGAUUGCGGGUACUCGAGUGGCGAACGGGUGAGUAACACGUGAGUGAUCUGCCCCCAACUUGGGUAUAAGCCUGGGAAACUGGGUCUAAUUCCCGAUAGGACUGCAGGGUGGUGCCUGUGGUGGAAAACGAUUUUCUAGUGGUUGGGGAUGAGCUCGCGGCCUAUCAGCUUGUUGGUGGGGUAAUGGCCUACCAAGGCGGCGACGGGUAGCCGGCCUGAGAGGGGGGACGGCCACAUUGGGACUGGGAUACGGCCCAGACUCCUACGGGAGGCAGCAGUGGGGAAUAUUGCACAAUGGGCGGAAGCCUGAUGCAGCGACGCCGCGUGGGGGAUGACGGCCUUCGGGUUGUAAACUCCUUUCGACCGCGAGGAAGCCACCUGGUUGGAAGGGUGGUGACGGUAGUGGUAGAAGAAGCACCGGCUAACUACGUG